AAUGUCGCAUGUGAACAGCAAGUCCCAACAGUCAGAGUUAGGACAACAUAGCCUGCAUGGGAGACUGUUGAGCACUCCAAGGAUGACAAGGAAACGAUACUGAUUCUGAGGAUGACAUCACAAAGGAAAAUGUAAAUUCGCAGAAGUAGACACAACAGUCGUCAGGGAAACUCAACAAUGUGUCCUCGCAGACAGGACCCAGACUCAGCCGUCUGCAGAGAUUGCUGAUUAUUUCAAACAACGAUCAUCACCAUAGUUCUGAGUUUGCCUUGACAACGGAUGACAAGGAGAGCAAAAACCUCCUGAAGUCACCACUAAUUCAGAACAAGGAUCCUGAUAAUAACGUCGUGCUUGACCAACCACAUCUGGCAUUACAGUCAAGUCAGUUGUCCAUGUCAGUUGAAACACAUGGCGGAAGCAAAGAACCAACCCAACAUUUAAGGUUGAACCACACCUUACAACAUCUCAACAGGAUCUGUGAGAGGUAAACCCUCCCUACAGCGCCGUAUCCAUGACGAGGAAGUCCUCCAAUUGCCCCAGUUCGUACUCCCCUUCACGUAAGGGUCAGGUUCAACAGCAUUAAAGCCCUCCUUAAAGUGCUGCAUCCAUAGUGAUGAAGUCCUCCAACUCGCCCCAGUACUCCCCUUGC
Molecule: long non-coding RNA, 649 nt
Organism: Dreissena polymorpha
Lineage: Eukaryota; Metazoa; Mollusca; Bivalvia; Myida; Dreissenidae
Exons: 4
Source: RefSeq, a predicted model, not a curated record